GUGCCAGCAGCCGCGGUAAUACGUAGGGUGCGAGCGUUGUCCGGAUUUAUUGGGCGUAAAGAGCUCGUAGGCGGUUUGUCGCGUCGGCCGUGAAAACCUGCAGCUUAACUGUGGGCGUGCGGUCGAUACGGGCAGACUUGAGUUCGGCAGGGGAGACUGGAAUUCCCUGGUGUAGCGGUGAAAUGCGCAGAUAUCAGGAGGAACACCCGGUGGCGAAGGCGGGUUCUUCUGGGCCGAUACUGACGCUGAGGAGCGAAAGCAUGGGGAGCGAACAGGAUUAGAUACCCUGGUAGUCC
Molecule: ribosomal RNA, 296 nt
Filed under: uncultured microorganism
Description: partial 16S ribosomal RNA
Rfam family: Bacterial small subunit ribosomal RNA
Source: RNAcentral